This 322-nucleotide ribosomal RNA is filed under the name uncultured eukaryote. Its description in RNAcentral is "partial 18S ribosomal RNA". It matches the Rfam family "Eukaryotic small subunit ribosomal RNA", at positions 1470 to 1796 of the family's 1831-position model. The record is from RNAcentral.
CCCUUAGAUGUUCUGGGCCGCACGCGUGCUACACUGAGUGGAUCAGCGGGUCAGGUUGCGCGAAAGCGUUUCCUAAUCUUGAAAUCCGCUCGUGAUGGGGAUUGACGGUUGCAAUUUUCUGUCAUGAACGAGGAAUACCUUGUAAGCGCGAGUCAUCAUCCCGCGCUGAAUACGUCCCUGCCCUUUGUGCACACCGCCCGUCGCUCCUACCGAUUGAGUGGUCCGGUGAGGCUUUGGGAUCUGAGCGGAAAGAGCGUUUCGCUCGUUCUGCCCGGAAAACUCAGUCGAACCUUAUCAUUUAGAGGAAGGAGAAGUCGUAACA